GCCUGGCUGGCUCAGUCGGUAGAGCAUGUGACUCUUGAUCUCAGGGUCGUGAGUUCGAGCCCCAUGUUGGGCA
RNAcentral lists this transfer RNA (73 nucleotides) under Felis catus (domestic cat). It matches the Rfam family "tRNA". Rfam says of the family: Transfer RNA (tRNA) molecules are approximately 80 nucleotides in length. Their secondary structure includes four short double-helical elements and three loops (D, anti-codon, and T loops). Further hydrogen bonds mediate the characteristic L-shaped molecular structure. tRNAs have two regions of fundamental functional importance: the anti-codon, which is responsible for specific mRNA codon recognition, and the 3' end, to which the tRNAs corresponding amino acid is attached (by aminoacyl-tRNA synthetases). tRNAs cope with the degeneracy of the genetic code in two manners: having more than one tRNA (with a specific anti-codon) for a particular amino acid; and 'wobble' base-pairing, i.e. permitting non-standard base-pairing at the 3rd anti-codon position. Lineage: Eukaryota; Metazoa; Chordata; Mammalia; Carnivora; Felidae. The record is from Rfam by way of RNAcentral.